UACACAUGCAAGUCGAACGGUAGCACAAGGAGCUUGCUCCUUGGGUGACGAGUGGCGGACGGGUGAGUAAUGUCUGGGAAACUGCCCGAUGGAGGGGGAUAACUACUGGAAACGGUAGCUAAAUACCGCAUAACGUCGCAAGACCAAAGAGGGGGACCUUCGGGCCUCUUGCCAUCGGAUGUGCCCAGAUGGGAUUAGCUAGUAGGUGGGGUAACGGCUCACCUAGGCGACGAUCCCUAGCUGGUCUGAGAGGAUGACCAGCCACACUGGAACUGAGACACGGUCCAGACUCCUACGGGAGGCAGCAGUGGGGAAUAUUGCACAAUGGGCGCAAGCCUGAUGCAGCCAUGCCGCGUGUAUGAAGAAGGCCUUCGGGUUGUAAAGUACUUUCAGCGAGGAGGAAGGUGUUGUGGUUAAUAACCCAGCAAUUGACGUUACUCGCAGAAGAAGCACCGGCUAACUCGUGCCAGCAGCCGCGGUAAUACGGAGGGUGCAAGCGUUAAUCGGAAUUACUGGGCGUAAAGCGCAGCAGGCGGUCUGUCAAGUCGGAUGUGAAAUCCCCGGGCUCAACCUGGGAACUGCAUCCGAAACUGGCAGGCUAGAGUCUUGUAGAGGGGGGUAGAAUUCCAGGUGUAGCGGUGAAAUGCGUAGAGAUCUGGAGGAAUCCGGUGCGAAGGCGGCCCCCGGACAAAGACUGACGUCAGGUGCGAAAGCGUGGGGAGCAAACAGGAUUAGAUCC
Molecule: ribosomal RNA, 739 nt
Filed under: Citrobacter freundii
Lineage: Bacteria; Pseudomonadati; Pseudomonadota; Gammaproteobacteria; Enterobacterales; Enterobacteriaceae
Also listed under: 1 other name
Description: bacterial SSU rRNA
Rfam family: Bacterial small subunit ribosomal RNA
Source: RNAcentral